This 503-nucleotide ribosomal RNA is filed under the name uncultured Bacillota bacterium. Its description in RNAcentral is "uncultured Firmicutes bacterium partial 16S ribosomal RNA". Lineage: Bacteria; Bacillati; Bacillota. The record is from RNAcentral.
CACGUAGUUAGCCGUGACUUUCUCACAGGGUACCGUCACUGUCUUCUUCCCCUGCGACAACAGUUUACAAUCCGAAGACCUUCUUCCUGCACGCGGCGUUGCUGCGUCAGGGUUGCCCCCAUUGCGCAAUAUUCCCCACUGCUGCCUCCCGUAGGAGUCUGGGCCGUGUCUCAGUCCCAAUGCGGCCGAUCAACCUCUCAGUUCGGCUACAGAUCGUCGCCUUGGUGAGCCGUUACCUCACCAACCAGCUAAUCUGACGCGAGUCCAUCCAUAAGCGAUAAAUCUUUCAAAAUUCUAUGAUGCCAUAAAAUUUCAAUAUGCGGUAUUAGUCCUCGUUUCCAAGGAUUAUCCCCCUCUUAUGGGCAGGUUACUCACGCGUUACUCGCCCGUCCGCCACUUUCCACCCAACAGUUCACCCCGAAGGGAUCACAAAUGGGUUUCUCGUUCGACUUGCAUGUGUUAGGCACGCCGCCAGCGUUCGUCCUGAGCCAGGAUCAAACUCU